GUAAUUUAGUUUAAUCAUAAAACAAUAGUUUGUGGAACUAUAAUCUCUUAUAUCAAUUUUACA
RNAcentral lists this transfer RNA (63 nucleotides) under Phanuelus gladstone. RNAcentral's name for it is "tRNA-His". The record is from RNAcentral. Lineage: Eukaryota; Metazoa; Arthropoda; Arachnida; Araneae; Salticidae.